RNAcentral lists this ribosomal RNA (490 nucleotides) under uncultured bacterium. RNAcentral's name for it is "bacterial SSU rRNA". It matches the Rfam family "Bacterial small subunit ribosomal RNA", at positions 30 to 517 of the family's 1533-position model. The record is from RNAcentral.
AUUGAACGCUGGCGGCAUGCCUAACACAUGCAAGUCGAACGGAGGUAGGGGCAACUCUACUUCAGUGGCGGACGGGUGAGGAAUGCGUCGGAAUCUACCCUAUGGUGGGGGAUAACACAGGGAAACUUGUGCUAAUACCGCAUGAUGUCGAGAGACCAAAGCAGGGGACCGCAAGGCCUUGCGCGAUAGGAUGAGCCGACGCCCGAUUAGCUAGUUGGUAGGGUAAUGGCCUACCAAGGCGACGAUCGGUAGCUGGUCUGAGAGGAUGAUCAGCCACACUGGGACUGAGACACGGCCCAGACUCCUACGGGAGGCAGCAGUGGGGAAUAUUGGACAAUGGGCGCAAGCCUGAUCCAGCAAUGCCGCGUGUGUGAAGAAGGCCUGCGGGUUGUAAAGCACUUUUGUUCGGGAAGAAAACGGAUCGGUUAAUACCCGGUUCGGAUGACGGUACCGAAAGAAUAAGCACCGGCUAACUUCGUGCCAGCAGCCG